RNAcentral lists this ribosomal RNA (422 nucleotides) under uncultured Bacteroidota bacterium. RNAcentral describes it as "uncultured Bacteroidetes bacterium partial 16S ribosomal RNA". It matches the Rfam family "Bacterial small subunit ribosomal RNA", at positions 355 to 774 of the family's 1533-position model. Lineage: Bacteria; Pseudomonadati; Bacteroidota. The record is from RNAcentral.
UGAGGAAUAUUGGUCAAUGGGCGCAAGCCUGAACCAGCCAUGCCGCGUGCAGGAAGACGGCUCUAUGAGUUGUAAACUGCUUUUAUAUGGGAGUAAUGUUUCGUACGUGUACGAAUUUGCAAGUACCAUAUGAAUAAGGAUCGGCUAACUCCGUGCCAGCAGCCGCGGUAAUACGGAGGAUCCGAGCGUUAUCCGGAUUUAUUGGGUUUAAAGGGUGCGCAGGCGGGAUUUUAAGUUAGUCGUUAAAUCGUAGGGCUCAACUCUACAAUUGCGAUUAAUACUGGGAUUCUAGAGAUUAGAUGCAGAGGGCGGAAUGUGUAGUGUAGCGGUGAAAUGCUUAGAUAUUACACAGAACACCGAUUGCGAAGGCAGCUCUCUAAUCUACAUCUGACGCUGAGGCACGAAAGCGUGGGGAUCAAACA